UAGGGAAUCUUCCACAGUGGACGAAAGUCUGAUGGAGCAACGCCGCGUGAGUGAAGAAGGUUUUCGGAUCGUAAAACUCUGUUGUUGGAGAAGAACGUAUUUGAUAGUAACUGAUCAGGUAGUGGCGGUAUCCAACCAGAAAGCCACGGCUAACUACGUACCAG
This 164-nucleotide ribosomal RNA is filed under the name uncultured bacterium. RNAcentral's name for it is "partial 16S rRNA". It matches the Rfam family "Bacterial small subunit ribosomal RNA", at positions 355 to 511 of the family's 1533-position model. The record is from RNAcentral.